RNAcentral lists this ribosomal RNA (484 nucleotides) under uncultured bacterium. RNAcentral's name for it is "partial 16S ribosomal RNA". It matches the Rfam family "Bacterial small subunit ribosomal RNA", at positions 30 to 507 of the family's 1533-position model. The record is from RNAcentral.
AUUGAACGCUGGCGGCAGGCCUAACACAUGCAAGUCGAGCGGAAGAAGGGAGCUUGCUCCUGGAUUCAGCGGCGGACGGGUGAGUAAUGCCUAGGAAUCUGCCUGGCAGUGGGGGAUAACGUCCGGAAACGGGCGCUAAUACCGCAUACGUCCUGAGGGAGAAAGUGGGGGAUCUUCGGACCUCACGCUCUCAGAUGAGUCUAGGUCGGAUUAGCUAGUUGGUGGGGUAAAGGCCUACCAAGGCGGCGAUCCGUAACUGGUCGGAGAGGAUGAUCAGCCACACUGGAGCUGAGACACGGUCCAGACUCCUACGGGAGGCAGCAGUGGGGAAUAUUGGACAGUGGGCGAAAGCCUUGUCCAGCCAGGCGGCGUGUGUGAAGAAGGUCUUCGGAUUGUAAAGCACUUUAAGUUGGGAGGAAGGGCAGUAAGUUAAUACCUUGCUGUUUUGACGGUACCAACAGAAUAAGCACCGGCUAACUUCGUG